RNAcentral lists this ribosomal RNA (253 nucleotides) under uncultured bacterium. RNAcentral's name for it is "partial 16S ribosomal RNA". It matches the Rfam family "Bacterial small subunit ribosomal RNA", at positions 524 to 776 of the family's 1533-position model. The record is from RNAcentral.
UACGAAGGGUGCAAGCGUUACUCGGAAUUACUGGGCGUAAAGGGUGCGUAGGCGGGUCUUUAAGUCAGGGGUGAAAUCCUGGAGCUCAACUCCAGAACUGCCUUUGAUACUGAGGAUCUUGAGUUCGGGAGAGGUGAGUGGAACUGCGAGUGUAGAGGUGAAAUUCGUAGAUAUUCGCAAGAACACCAGCGGCGAAGGCGGCAUCCUGGACUGGUCCUGACACUCAGGAGCGAAAGCGUGGGGAGCGAUCCGG